AACGAACGCUGGCGGCAUGCCUAACACAUGCAAGUCGAACGAGACCUUCGGGUCUAGGGGCGCACGGGGGCGGAACGCGGGGGAACCUGCCCGUAGGUUCGGAAUAACUCCCCGAAAGGGGUGCUAAUACCGGAUAAUGUCUUCGGACCAAAGAUUUAUCGCCUUUGGAUGGGCCCGCGUUGGAUUAGCUAGUUGGUAGGGUAAAAGCCUACCAAGGCGACGAUGCAUAGCUGGUCUGAGAGGAUGCUCAGCCACACUGGGACUGCGACACGGCCCAGACUCCUACGGGAGGCAGCAGUGGGGUAUAUUGGACAAUGGGCGAAAGCCUGAUACAGCCAUGCCGCGUGAGUGAUGAAGGCCUUAGGGUUGUACAGCUCUUUUACCCGGGAUGAUAAUGACAGUACCGGGUGAAUAAGCACCGGCUAACUCCGUG
RNAcentral lists this ribosomal RNA (433 nucleotides) under uncultured bacterium. RNAcentral's name for it is "partial 16S ribosomal RNA". It matches the Rfam family "Bacterial small subunit ribosomal RNA", at positions 29 to 507 of the family's 1533-position model. The record is from RNAcentral.